RNAcentral lists this ribosomal RNA (511 nucleotides) under uncultured bacterium. RNAcentral describes it as "bacterial SSU rRNA". It matches the Rfam family "Bacterial small subunit ribosomal RNA", at positions 29 to 518 of the family's 1533-position model. The record is from RNAcentral.
AACGAACGCUGGCGGCGUGCUUAACACACGCAAGUCGAACGCGAAAGGGACUUCGGUCCUGAGUAAAGUGGCGCACGGGUGAGUAACGCGUAGAUAACCUGUCUUCAUGUCUGGAAUAAUACGCCGAAAGGGGUACUAAUACCGGAUAUUCUUGCUUUUCAUAAGUUAUGCAAGCAAAGGUGGCCUCUGCAUAUGCUACUGCAUGAAGAGGGGUCUGCGUACCAUUAGCUAGUAGGUGGGGUAAUGGCCUACCUAGGCGACGAUGGUUAGCGGGCCUGAGAGGAUGAUCCGCCACACUGGCACUGGAACACGGGCCAGACUCCUACGGGAGGCAGCAGUGAGGAAUAUUGCGCAAUGGGGGAAACCCUGACGCAGCGACGCCGCGUGAGUGAAGGAAGGCCUUCGGGUCGUAAAGCUCUGUCAAGAGGAAAGAAGUGUACAAUGGCUAAUACCUGUUGUAUUUGACGGUACCUCUAAAGGAAGCACCGGCUAACUCCGUGCCAGCAGCGGC